UGGGGAAUCUUGGACAAUGGGCGCAAGCCUGAUCCAGCCAUGCCGCGUGAGUGAUGAAGGCCUUAGGGUUGUAAAGCUCUUUUUGCCGGGGACGAUAAUGACGGUACCCGCAGAAUAAGCCCCGGCUAACUUCGUGCCAGCAGCCGCGGUAAUACGAAGGGGGCUAGCGUUGUUCGGAAUUACUGGGCGUAAAGCGCACGUAGGCGGAUCUAUAAGUCAGGGGCGAAAUCCCGGGGCUCAACCUCGGAACUGCCUUUGAUACUGUAGAUCUCGAGUCCGGAAGAGGUGAGUGGAAUUCCUAGUGUAGAGGUGAAAUUCGUAGAUAUUAGGAAGAACACCAGUGGCGAAGGCGGCUCACUGGUCCGGUACUGACGCUGAGGUGCGAAAGCGUGGGGAGCAAACAGGAUUAGAUACCCUCGUAGUCCCUGAGCGGGCUGGCAAGGCGCAU
RNAcentral lists this ribosomal RNA (448 nucleotides) under uncultured bacterium. RNAcentral's name for it is "bacterial SSU rRNA". It matches the Rfam family "Bacterial small subunit ribosomal RNA", at positions 355 to 825 of the family's 1533-position model. The record is from RNAcentral.